Molecule: long non-coding RNA, 288 nt
Filed under: Rattus norvegicus (Norway rat)
Lineage: Eukaryota; Metazoa; Chordata; Mammalia; Rodentia; Muridae
Description: long non-coding RNA NONRATT031021
Source: RNAcentral
CACCCUGUUUAUUUAUUAUAAAUAUAUUUUUUACAAGUCCCAGCUCCUCUUCUUGCCCUACAUUCAGCUCCUUUCACAGUCCCUGCCUUUCUCUCCCCUGUCCAGUAUGGGCUGCAAUACAGACAGACAGAUGGACCCUCUAUGUCAAAGGGUCCCUGGGGCUUGGGGUUGUGGGAGGGUGUUGGUGGGAGGGACUUAUGGAGAGGAGCUGGGGUUCAGACAUUGUCUUUUUCCCUCCUUGUAUAUAAGAAUGUAUAUUUGAUGCCUCAUAAAAGACCUUGUGCUCAC